This 1360-nucleotide ribosomal RNA is filed under the name uncultured bacterium. Its description in RNAcentral is "16S ribosomal RNA". It matches the Rfam family "Bacterial small subunit ribosomal RNA", at positions 36 to 1386 of the family's 1533-position model. The record is from RNAcentral.
CUGGCGGCAGGCCUAACACAUGCAAGUCGAACGGUAACAGGAAGCAGCUUGCUGCUUCGCUGACGAGUGGCGGACGGGUGAGUAAUGUCUGGGAAACUGCCUGAUGGAGGGGGAUAACUACUGGAAACGGUAGCUAAUACCGCAUAACGUCGCAAGACCAAAGAGGGGGACCUUCGGGCCUCUUGCCAUCGGAUGUGCCCAGAUGGGAUUAGCUAGUAGGUGGGGUAACGGCUCACCUAGGCGACGAUCCCUAGCUGGUCUGAGAGGAUGACCAGCCACACUGGAACUGAGACACGGUCCAGACUCCUACGGGAGGCAGCAGUGGGGAAUAUUGCACAAUGGGCGCAAGCCUGAUGCAGCCAUGCCGCGUGUAUGAAGAAGGCCUUCGGGUUGUAAAGUACUUUCAGCGGGGAGGAAGGGAGUAAAGUUAAUACCUUUGCUCAUUGACGUUACCCGCAGAAGAAGCACCGGCUAACUCCGUGCCAGCAGCCGCGGUAAUACGGAGGGAGCAAGCGUUAAUCGGAAUUACUGGGCGUAAAGCGCACGCAGGCGGUUUGUUAAGUCAGAUGUGAAAUCCCCGGGCUCAACCUGGGAACUGCAUCUGAUACUGGCAAGCUUGAGUCUCGUAGAGGGGGGUAGAAUUCCAGGUGUAGCGGUGAAAUGCGUAGAGAUCUGGAGGAAUACCGGUGGCGAAGGCGGCCCCCUGGACGAAGACUGACGCUCAGGUGCGAAAGCGUGGGGAGCAAACAGGAUUAGAUACCCUGGUAGUCCACGCCGUAAACGAUGUCGACUUGGAGGUUGUGCCCUUGAGGCGUGGCUUCCGGAGCUAACGCGUUAAGUCGACCGCCUGGGGAGUACGGCCGCAAGGUUAAAACUCAAAUGAAUUGACGGGGGCCCGCACAAGCGGUGGAGCAUGUGGUUUAAUUCGAUGCAACGCGAAGAACCUUACCUGGUCUUGACAUCCACGGAAGUUUUCAGAGAUGAGAAUGUGCCUUCGGGAACCGUGAGACAGGUGCUGCAUGGCUGUCGUCAGCUCGUGUUGUGAAAUGUUGGGUUAAGUCCCGCAACGAGCGCAACCCUUAUCCUUUGUUGCCAGCGGUCCGGCCGGGAACUCAAAGGAGACUGCCAGUGAUAAACUGGAGGAAGGUGGGGAUGACGUCAAGUCAUCAUGGCCCUUACGACCAGGGCUACACACGUGCUACAAUGGCGCAUACAAAGAGAAGCGACCUCGCGAGAGCAAGCGGACCUCAUAAAGUGCGUCGUAGUCCGGAUUGGAGUCUGCAACUCGACUCCAUGAAGUCGGAAUCGCUAGUAAUCGUGGAUCAGAAUGCCACGGUGAAUACGUUCCCGGGCCUUGUAC